AUAUAAUAGCUUGAUAACAGUGAA
RNAcentral lists this unclassified non-coding RNA (24 nucleotides) under Arabidopsis thaliana (thale cress). The record is from RNAcentral. Lineage: Eukaryota; Viridiplantae; Streptophyta; Magnoliopsida; Brassicales; Brassicaceae.